AAUUCGACGCAACGCGCAGAACCUUACCUUAGCUUGACAUCCCGGGAAUUUGCUGGAAACAGUGAAGUGCUUUCAUUAGAAGAGCCCGGUGACAGGUGCUGCAUGGCUGUCGUCAGCUCGUGUCGUGAGAUUGUUGGGUUAAGUCCCGCAACGAGCGCAACCCUCGCCUUUAGUUGCCAGCAUUCAGUUGGGCACUCUAAGGGACUGCCGGUGUCAAACCGGAGGAAGGUGGGAUGACGUCAAGUCCUCAUGGCCUUUAUGUCUAGGGCUACACACGUACUACAAUGGCAGGUACAAAGGGCAGCGACACAGCGAUGUGAUGCGAAUCCCGAAAAGCCUGUCUCAGUCCGGAUCGGAGUCUGCAACUCGACUCCGUGAAGUUGGAAUCGCUAGUAAUCGUGGAUCAGCAUGCCACGGUGAAUACGUUCCCGGGCCUU
Molecule: ribosomal RNA, 437 nt
Filed under: uncultured Desulfobulbus sp.
Lineage: Bacteria; Pseudomonadati; Thermodesulfobacteriota; Desulfobulbia; Desulfobulbales; Desulfobulbaceae
Description: bacterial SSU rRNA
Rfam family: Bacterial small subunit ribosomal RNA
Source: RNAcentral